UAUUCAUCAGUUACCAAUAUAUUGCUUUAUUUCUUGGUAGUAAAUUAAGGCUUUAUAGUGAGAUCCAUACAGUAUAGGCCAAUUUAAACAUUAGGACCUUUAAAAACCACGCCGCGCUACUCAUUCAAUUUAGCAUAGCCAGAAAAGUAGAAACCUUUUUUAUAAACAGUUAAACAUCACAAGACCUUUCAUUUCAUGAGUGCAAGUGGCUCAAUCAAAUUCCCACCAUUCUCAAGAAUGCAUUCAACAUUUAACUCUCCCUUGGGUCAGCUCUGUAUUAAGGAUAAUGAAGAGUAUAAAUGGCUAGGAUGAAUGACACUGUAUAGUAUGCCUGAGAGAUCAAUUGUAUUAAAAAGAAUGGAAAAGAAAACUAUCCUGAUGGCAGCUGGCAAAGAAUGGUACCAGUCACAACCAUAUGUUGAUCUGGGGUGAUGAGGAACUGGAAGACAUUUUCCACACAAUCAUUUGAACCCCUGGCCCUUGUCAGGUUUGUACAGUGUUAUUUAGAAUUACCAAGUUUGGUCAUGAGAUAAAUAUUCCAUGUGGAAAGAAACACACAAUUAACCACAGGCAAAGGAAUAUACAUGAGGUAAAGGGUUUUUUUCUUCCUAAUGGGGACACAAUUCACCUCACAAGAGGGAACUUUCUGCAAACAUUUGUUGCCCCCAAAAUCAUGUGCUACCAACAUUUCCUUAGUGAUUAUGUAUUUUCUUAAACACAUGGAUUUUCACUUCAUAUCAGUGACAUUAUUAAUGUUGUCUGGAGAUCAUGAGGCUACUGUUUUUAUGAAAAACAGAUAGGAUGUUUCUUUCCCACAUCUCUCUACCAGAAACAUUUGUAGUGCUUGGGGCCUAACAUCUGAACCUGGUUGUCAAUCUUAUGCAGGGGCUUGCCUGCCUGAAAAUAUCAUCACUCCUAAUGUGUCUGGCAUUCAGAUCUGACAUGACUUGCCAGAAUCUGAGAGGGGAAAGCAGUUGCCAGAUGAUUAUGAUAUGAUGAAAUGAUCACAUGUUCAGGGGAAAAAAGAGGGCAAUGAGUAGGGGGAAAGCUUUAAAACUGAUGGUAUUAGCAAGAGAGUGGCUAUAUCAGGAACACCCGUUGGAGCAAACAGGUUCCAGGCAUACAAGGCAGUGCUGAUAUUUUUAGUCCUUGAUGUGUGAUAGAAUUUCUUAGAUUGAAGGAACACACAGACAUGAUUUCCUGGAAUCCAGUUCUAAUACAGAUAACAUCCCCAAUCCCUUUUUCCCAAGGAUGUGGUCUGAUAGCUGGUUUAUGACUUCCAAGUCUUGAAAUCUACAAUCCAGUAAACUGGAAGGCUGUGGAAAGUAUGCAACUUUCUGUGUAUAAGUACACAUACUGAACAGUAAAGUAUAUAUUUCAACACACGGGCAGAUAAUGGUUCCACUCGUCCUAAAACGAAUCUCAGUUGCACCAUUCCCUGGCAAGUGAAUGGUGAGGUGAAUAAACUGUUGGCACUGGUACAGCACAGCUAUACUGCGACUCUUAUAAGUUUGCUUUGGUAUGAACUAUUCUGUAACACUUAGUAAUUCCCGGUAUGACGUAGUACUACCUUCAUUCACCAUGGCAAUAACGUAGGUAGGAUCUCUCAGGCCAAACUGCAGCUAAGCAGAAAUUACUGACAUUUUCACUCCCUGGCUUAGAAAGGGAUACUGGCUGCUUCCAACAUCCCUUAAAAAUUUCCUUUUGCUCCAGUCCUAAUGCUUAUUGCACCCAAAGGGCCCCAGUAGAUAUAGUAG
Gavialis gangeticus (Gharial) is the source of this 1757-nucleotide long non-coding RNA. RefSeq lists it as uncharacterized. The transcript is spliced from 2 exons. The record is from RefSeq and is a predicted model, not a curated record. Lineage: Eukaryota; Metazoa; Chordata; Crocodylia; Gavialidae.